GCAACAUUUCUGCAAAGGGGCAAGAUUUGUGAUUUCAAUCUUAUCCCUCUCCCCUUACCUCCCUGACUUCCAUCUCUUCUGGAACAUUCAUUGUACCAUACAGGUGCAGAAAAGAGCUGGUUCUCCCUGUGUCUUGGAUGUGGUCUGGGCCCAGGUGGUACUUCCUGUCAGCAAGUGCAUGUGAAGAGAAAGCCUGCAUGGGAGACUGGCAUGGCAGGUGGAGUUGGGGUGUAUUUGCCCUUUGGGCAUCAGCAGGAAGCAGGGCCAAGGCUGAAGGAGCGGUGUCUAUUGGGUCCUGCAGGUCUUGCGGCAGUCGGCAAAUAGAAGAACGGCAGAGCCCAGAAUGCAAGCAUAUUUAUGCCCCUGCUAGAGGGUGACCUGAGAGAUGUCUGCUCACAUUUUUUGGUCAAAACAAGUUAUAAGGCUAAGCCCAAAGUCAGAGGAGUUGGACUUACAUUCCUCUUGCUGAGAAAAAUUGUAAAAGUGGGAGGAAAUGAAAAAUUGUGAACAAA
Long non-coding RNA from Sciurus carolinensis (gray squirrel), 512 nucleotides. RefSeq lists it as uncharacterized. The record is from RefSeq and is a predicted model, not a curated record. NCBI's taxonomy places the organism in Eukaryota, Metazoa, Chordata, Mammalia, Rodentia, Sciuridae. The transcript is spliced from 3 exons.